RNAcentral lists this ribosomal RNA (253 nucleotides) under uncultured bacterium. RNAcentral's name for it is "partial 16S ribosomal RNA". It matches the Rfam family "Bacterial small subunit ribosomal RNA", at positions 332 to 603 of the family's 1533-position model. The record is from RNAcentral.
CAGCCUACGGGAGGCAGCAGUGGGGAAUAUUGGGCAAUGGGCGCAAGCCUGACCCAGCAACGCCGCGUGAAGGAAGAAGGCUUUCGGGUUGUAAACUUCUUUUCUGGGGGACGAACAAAUGACGGUACCCCAGGAAUAAGCCACGGCUAACUACGUGCCAGCAGCCGCGGUAAUACGUAGGUGGCAAGCGUUAUCCGGAUUUAUUGGGUGUAAAGGGCGAGUAGGCGGGAAUGCAGGUCAGAUGUGAAAACUA